This 252-nucleotide ribosomal RNA is filed under the name uncultured bacterium. RNAcentral's name for it is "partial 16S ribosomal RNA". It matches the Rfam family "Bacterial small subunit ribosomal RNA", at positions 334 to 603 of the family's 1533-position model. The record is from RNAcentral.
GUUUCCUACGGGGGGCAGCAGUGGGGAAUAUUGCACAAUGGGGGGAACCCUGAUGCAGCGACGCCGCGUGAGUGAAGAAGUAUCUCGGUACGUAAAGCUCUAUCAGCAGGGAAGAAAAUGACAGUACCUGACUAAGAAGCCCCGGCUAACUACGUGCCAGCAGCCGCGGUAAUACGUAGGGGGCAAGCGUUAUCCGGAUUUACUGGGUGUAAAGGGGGCGUAGACGGCACUGCAAGUCCGGAGUGAAAGCCC